RNAcentral lists this ribosomal RNA (572 nucleotides) under Tubiclavoides striatum. RNAcentral describes it as "partial 16S ribosomal RNA". It matches the Rfam family "Bacterial large subunit ribosomal RNA", at positions 1804 to 2558 of the family's 2925-position model. Lineage: Eukaryota; Metazoa; Cnidaria; Hydrozoa; Anthoathecata; Tubiclavoididae. The record is from RNAcentral.
UUACCAAAAACAUAGCCCUCGUAACUAUCGGAGGUGCAACCUGCCCAGUGAUAUUUAAUUAAAUAAUAAUAAACUAUUAAAAAAAUAUUAAAAGGACGCGGUAACCUUGACUGUGAUAAUGUAGCAUAAUCAAUUGCCAUUUAAUUGGUGGAUAGUAUGAAUGGUUAAACGAAUAUUACACUGUCUUAAAAGAGGAACCUAUAAAAUUGAAAUAAUAGUAAAGAUGCUAUUUAAAAUUGUAAGACGAAAAGACCCUAUAGAGCUUAACUAUAAUUUCUCUUUUAUUAUCAGAAAAAUCAUCUAACAAAAAAGAAAAAUUGGUAGUUUAGUUGGGGCGACUGUCUUUUAAAAACAACAAAGACAAGCAAAAUUAAUAAAAUAAUUUAUUGUAAAAAACAUAAAUUUAACAAUUACAAAAGUAGGCUAUAAUGACCCAUUAUAAUUUAAUAAUAGAUAUAAUGAUUAAUAAAUAAAAGCUACCUUAGGGAUAACAGGAUAAUUUUGUUCAAGAGAUCGUAUCAAAAACAAAGUUUGUCACCUCUAUGUUGAAUUAAGAUAUCCCGAUAACGCAA